Molecule: transfer RNA, 72 nt
Filed under: Camelus bactrianus (Bactrian camel)
Lineage: Eukaryota; Metazoa; Chordata; Mammalia; Artiodactyla; Camelidae
Also listed under: 2 other names
Rfam family: tRNA
About the family: Transfer RNA (tRNA) molecules are approximately 80 nucleotides in length. Their secondary structure includes four short double-helical elements and three loops (D, anti-codon, and T loops). Further hydrogen bonds mediate the characteristic L-shaped molecular structure. tRNAs have two regions of fundamental functional importance: the anti-codon, which is responsible for specific mRNA codon recognition, and the 3' end, to which the tRNAs corresponding amino acid is attached (by aminoacyl-tRNA synthetases). tRNAs cope with the degeneracy of the genetic code in two manners: having more than one tRNA (with a specific anti-codon) for a particular amino acid; and 'wobble' base-pairing, i.e. permitting non-standard base-pairing at the 3rd anti-codon position.
Source: Rfam by way of RNAcentral
GAGGGUAUGGCUCAGUGGUAGAGUGAGCGCUUAGCAUGCACUAAGUCCUGGGUUUGAUCCCCAGUACCUCCA